RNAcentral lists this ribosomal RNA (552 nucleotides) under Triticum aestivum (bread wheat). RNAcentral describes it as "partial small subunit ribosomal RNA". The record is from RNAcentral. Lineage: Eukaryota; Viridiplantae; Streptophyta; Magnoliopsida; Poales; Poaceae.
AAAGAAUUGAACAAGACUCACAAAAAUAACACUAGUGCACCUAGUCCUUCUAGAAAGAAAAGGAAGAAGAAAAAUGAUAGGACUUUGCACACUUCUAGUGGACCUGAAAUAGAAAAACCUCCUGAUAAUGAAAAUGAAACUUCUAUCUCUGAUGCUGAAACCCAAUCUGGUAAUGAACACUCACCUAGUGAUAAUGAAAAAGAUAAUGAUGAGGUUCAUGAAGACACUCAACCAAAUAAUAAUAAAGAACCAAACAAUGAUGUUGAGAUAGAACCACCUCCGGAUCUUGAUAACCCACAACCUAAGAAUAAAAGAUAUGAUAAAAGAGGCUUUGUGGCUAGGAAACACGGUAAAGAAAGAGAGCCUUGGGUUCAAAAACCUAUGCCUUUUCCACCCAAGUCAACUAAAAAGAAUGAUGAUGAAGAAUUUGAACGCUUUGCUGAAAUGCCGAGGCCAGUCUUUUUGCGUACCCGCUUGACUGAUAUCUUGAAAAUGCCUCCUUAUGCAAAGUAUAUGAAAGACAUCAUCACUAAUAAGAGAAAAAUACCGAAA